GGGGUGUGAGAUCUAGGGCAGGGGUUCUAGGGUUUCCUAGUUCCUAUUUUAUGAGAGAGAAAAAUACAAAGAGUUUUAUUUUUCUUCUUCCAUGCCAUCUCCUCCUUGAAAAGCUCCUCCUUUUAAUCUGAAAGUGUCUGUUUAAUCUGAAGAAAAGAGUCUCCAUCAGCCAUCCAAAGCCUUUGUCAUGAGCUAGCACUUUCGAGAAGGACGAUCUGCUUGGGGCUUCGAGUGAAUCAUCUGUAG
This 246-nucleotide long non-coding RNA is filed under the name Elaeis guineensis (African oil palm). Its description in RNAcentral is "long non-coding RNA (EGUI_LNC026965)". The record is from RNAcentral. Lineage: Eukaryota; Viridiplantae; Streptophyta; Magnoliopsida; Arecales; Arecaceae.